GUGCCCUGCGUUUAUCAGUAAGCUUAUUUUCGUUGGGUGAAAAAGAAAUACUCAAUAAACAAAGUAAAAAACAUUUUCAUGAUAUCUUUCCCCCAAAGGUUUCUAUAGAUAUCGUGAAUUCUUAAGGCCACAAAAACCAUGAUAUUAAAAAUUUAAUAUCGUGACAGCCCUAGUCUGGUUGUCGCAAACUAACUAUAUUCAUGUUAAAACAAAGUAAUACAGUUUGCGUGCACUUUAUAACAAGGCAUGGUAAGACAGGACUUUUUUGCACACAGUAUUAAACAUUCAUCUUCAUUCAACUUCCGCGUCACAACUCCGAUAUGAAUUAAAACAAAAAAUAAAAUAAACAAUUAUACUAACAGAAAGCAUAUACUUUGUGGUCAAAAUAGGAUUCAUGGCUAGAAAUAUAGGACCUCUGUGCACAUGCUAAUUGUUAAUUCUUUGUUUUGUUGAUCAGGUAAAAUUUACAGUGAAGAUGCCAGGCAUGCCAUAUAUCAGAGUGGUGAGUAGGCAGUGCUCUCUAUGUAAUCUUAUAUUCACGUUAAUCACAGACUACAAAUUACGUUUCAUUUGGUUGUUUUGACUUGUUUACUGAGUUCUUAUUUGGGAAACCACCUCCACUGAAGACUCAUGUUUUCUUUCUUUGCAAGCCUGGUCAUCUUGACCGUCUCCCCAUAGAGAACGCACUGACACUCAUGUCCAAUAAGGGCCCCAUUGUUCCUCAGAUCAUUAAACUGCUGGAUUUGUUUUAUUUCGAGGAGCUCUAUGAUGGAAGCCUUGAAGAGAGGACGGCACAAAAUGUAAGGUGGCAGAACACUGAUGCUGCUAACAUUUGCGGGACAUUAAACUGGAGAACCUGCUGGUAAACCAGGACACCAUGGAGGUCAAUUUGACUGACACUGAGUGCAGCCUUUAAAGUUUUCCAUGUUACAAAAGUGUACGGUCCUUUAGAGUUCAGCAUGAAGGGCAUGUACUAUGCAAGGCCGAUGACAUUGUGGAGACUACGUUUCCUCCUGUGUGAAAUGGUUUGCGAGGAACAUCCUACAGCUUAUGACUGUCACGUGAUCAGUGUGGACCUCUGGACCAGACCUGGACUGUCACAAGUCUUUUUGAACAGAAUACUCCCAGAUGAUUUGUGGUUGUCUACAGCCUAAGCCACAGAAGAGAUCCAUGCUGGAAUGUUAAUACAGAAGCAAAAUAUAAGACUUGCAACAUAGAGGAUAAGCUAAUUGACUUAAUACUGACAUCAAGUGUUGUUUUACAUUUAAAUGAGCCUCAUCAUUUUAUGUCAGUACAGCAGCUCAAGUUCACAUUUGAAAUCAACACAACUGUCCCUGAAGCCUUGAAGCCUGAUCAAAUGUGUAACAAGCUCUACCAGGGCAUCUACCGCUCUGUGAGGAAGACACGCAGUGGUCGGGAGCAUCUCUAACGCCUUCAGCUGGGACUGAAGAUCAAGCAGCGCCUGUGGCUGAUGUUCAUCAAAAAAAAAGCGCUAUACAAAUAAAUAAUAAUAAACUUGAAUCUGCCCAUCACUGGUGGAGACAGAGCAGCCUGACGGACGCGUCCUGAUCACGGAGAGCUUCUCCACAACCUGCAGAAGGUUCGCUCCUCAAAUACAUGUGGACAUCUGUUCCUGAGGAAUCCAGAAGAAAGAAGCCCAGAAACGGAGUCACCACGGUCACAUGGAGCAUCACACAGUGGGACCUACAUUUGAAAAUAAUGUAUAAAUUGUACAUAGUUAUAGAGUAAGUUUAUAGUUUGUUAAAACAUUAUGAAGGUGUCAGUUUUGAGCAGCCCGUGAUGAGGAGAUAAAUCAUACGCUAAAAGAGCUGAGAGUGUUAAAUAUUAGCCUUCCACUGAUUAUUCAGUAUAUGUUGAAUUUCACAAUUGAUGGUAUAUACUGAAUUCUUCUCCCUAAAGAGAUUUGUAUUUAUUUUUUUCUGGUCGAAUCACACAGAGCGCGUUGCUUCGGUUUAUUCACAAACACAAACUCGCUGCAUUGUUAAAAUGCUUAACUUUGGUCCAGUUCACCUGUUUGUUUUCUCUUCAUUGUCUUUCCAGAUGCAAGUUGUAAUAUUAAAUGCAUAGUUCACCCAAAACUUAAAA
This is a long non-coding RNA of Carassius gibelio (silver crucian carp), 2106 nucleotides long. RefSeq lists it as uncharacterized. The record is from RefSeq and is a predicted model, not a curated record. The transcript is spliced from 3 exons. NCBI's taxonomy places the organism in Eukaryota, Metazoa, Chordata, Actinopteri, Cypriniformes, Cyprinidae.